Molecule: RNA transcript, 544 nt
Organism: Oxyura jamaicensis (ruddy duck)
Lineage: Eukaryota; Metazoa; Chordata; Aves; Anseriformes; Anatidae
Gene name: late histone H2B.L4
Exons: 3
Source: RefSeq, a predicted model, not a curated record
AACCAGCCCCAUGGCAGCUUGUGGUUGCUCUGUUAGAGCUUGCUUGGGGGAGGGGGCUGAGAUGAGUGCAGAAGCUGGGAAGAAGCGUGGUGGUCAUGCUUCCACUUCUGGAGACAGGAAGUCCAAGAGGAAGCCCAAGAGAAAGGAAACCUAUUCAGUCUAUAUCUAUAAAGUACUGAAGCAAGUGCACCCUGACACCGGCAUCUCCUCCAAGGCCAUGAGCGUCAUGAACUCCUUUGUCAACGACAUCUUCGAGCGGCUGGCUUCAGAGGCCUCCCGCCUGGCCCAGUACAACCAGCGCUCCACCAUCACCAGCCGCGAGGUGCAGACGGCUGUGCGGCUCCUGCUGCCUGGCGAGCUGGCCAAGCACGCCGUCUCUGAGGGCACCAAGGCCGUCACCAAAUACACCAGCAGCAAGUGACCACUGGGCCACGAUAAAACCUUCCUGCCGUGGCUGCACCCCAUCUGUCAUGGCUCUGUGGGGUUGUGUUGGGGCAGGGGGGAGUCACUGAGGGCGGUGCUGGUGGGGCUUGUGCAGCCCAAA